UACGUAGGGGGCGAGCGUUAUCCGGAAUUAUUGGGCGUAAAGAGCUCGUAGGCGGUUUGUCGCGUCUGCCGUGAAAGUCCGGGGCUUAACCCCGGAUCUGCGGUGGGUACGGGCAGACUAGAGUGCAGUAGGGGAGACUGGAAUUCCUGGUGUAGCGGUGAAAUGCGCAGAUAUCAGGAGGAACACCGAUGGCGAAGGCAGGUCUCUGGGCUGUAACUGACGCUGAGGAGCGAAAGCAUGGGGAGCGAACAGG
Molecule: ribosomal RNA, 253 nt
Filed under: uncultured bacterium
Lineage: Bacteria
Description: partial 16S ribosomal RNA
Rfam family: Bacterial small subunit ribosomal RNA
Source: RNAcentral